RNAcentral lists this ribosomal RNA (434 nucleotides) under uncultured Roseburia sp. Its description in RNAcentral is "partial 16S ribosomal RNA". It matches the Rfam family "Bacterial small subunit ribosomal RNA", at positions 341 to 792 of the family's 1533-position model. The record is from RNAcentral. Lineage: Bacteria; Bacillati; Bacillota; Clostridia; Lachnospirales; Lachnospiraceae.
ACGGGAGGCAGCAGUGGGGAAUAUUGGACAAUGGGCGAAAGCCUGAUCCAGCGACGCCGCGUGAGUGAAGAAGUAUUUCGGUAUGUAAAGCUCUAUCAGCAGGGAAGAUAAUGACGGUACCUGACUAAGAAGCACCGGCUAAAUACGUGCCAGCAGCCGCGGUAAUACGUAUGGUGCAAGCGUUAUCCGGAUUUACUGGGUGUAAAGGGAGCGCAGGCGGUACGGCAAGUCUGAUGUGAAAGCCCGGGGCUCAACCCCGGUACUGCAUUGGAAACUGUCGAACUAGAGUGUCGGAGGGGUAAGCGGAAUUCCUAGUGUAGCGGUGAAAUGCGUAGAUAUUAGGAGGAACACCAGUGGCGAAGGCGGCUUGCUGGACGAUAACUGACGCUGAGGCUCGAAAGCGUGGGGAGCAAACAGGAUUAGAUACCCUGGUA